GUAGGUGGCAAGCGUUGUCCGGAAUUAUUGGGGCGUAAAGCGCGCGCAGGCGGUCCUUUAAGGUCUGAUGUGAAAGCCCACGGGCUCAACCGUGGAGGGUCAUUGGAAACUGGGGGACUUGAGUACAGAAGAGGAAAGCGGAAUUCCACGUGUAGCGGUGAAAUGCGUAGAGAUGUGGAGGAACACCAGUGGCGAAGGCGGCUUUCUGGUCUGUAACUGACGCUGAGGCGCGAAAGCGUGGGGAGCAAACAGGAUUAGAUACCCUGGUAGUCCACGCCGUAAACGAUGAGUGCUAAGUGUUAGAGGGUUUCCGCCCUUUAGUGCUGCAGCUAACGCAUUAAGCACUCCGCCUGGGGAGUACGGCCGCAAAGGCUG
RNAcentral lists this ribosomal RNA (375 nucleotides) under uncultured organism. Its description in RNAcentral is "partial 16S ribosomal RNA". It matches the Rfam family "Bacterial small subunit ribosomal RNA", at positions 527 to 896 of the family's 1533-position model. The record is from RNAcentral.